CUCUGAAACUGAUCAGUCAACAGCUUCCUCCUCUCCUGCGGUACCUUGUACCAGAGACCCGUAGAGAUAUGGGGACGAAGUGCUUAACUGAAGUCAAUGUGGAUGAUUUGGUGUCGGCGGGAUUAGCGGCUGAUGAGGCCGAGCAGCUCCACAGGACCCUGCGGGAUGCACUGCUCGGGGCUGGGAGUGGCGGUCCGAGGGAGGUGUGGAGGGAGCUGGUGGCUCGCAGGGCCCUUGAGCCGUCCCACCCGCACCGCCUCCAUCAGCUCAUCUACUACUCUGUCUACUCUGACUGGGAUUCCGAUGUCAAUGGACCUCCCCUCUAUUGGUUCCCCUCCCUUUUACGAGCAGCCAUGCUUGGUUUUUCCUAGACGAGCUAAGAAAUGGAUUAUAUAUCUUUCGUGUUUUAUGAUCAGAGAUCAAGCUAAGCAGACGAAUCUGGGCCGACUGAUGGAGUCGCAUGGCCAAGAUCUCCUUGGGACAUUGUACAAGGAUCCAGUAACGAGUUUUAGCCUUUUCCAGCAGUUCUCAGCUUCGAGACCCGAGGUAUAUUGGUCGAUUGUUCUGAAAGAAAUAGCGGUUAAAUUUGAAGCUCCUCCGAGGUGCAUUUUGGAUACUGCAGACAAAUCUAAGCACGGGGGAACAUGGCUUCCUGGUGCAGUUCUGAAUAUAGCUGAGUGCUGUCUACAGCCCUCGAACCAUCCGAGAAAGGAGGAUAAUAGUGCUGCCAUUGUAUGGAGAGAGGAGAGAGACGAUGAUAGUUCGACGGUUAAGUGCAUGACCUUGCGUGAACUCCGGGAACGAGUAAUCAGGCUGGUGGCGAAUGCACUCAAUGCAACAUUCUCACGGGGCGAUGCAAUUGCAAUUGACAUGCCGAUGACAGUCAAUGCAGUUAUCAUAUACUUGGCAAUCAUACUUGCUGGAAUGGUCGUGGUCUCUAUAGCGGACAGCUUUGCAGCGAAAGAAAUUGCUAGCCGUCUGCAUAUAUCAAAAGCAAAGGGAAUCUUCACUCAGGAUUUUAUACUGAGAGGCGGUCGAAAGUUCCCCUUGUACAGUCGAGUUGUAGAAGCAGCACCUCUUAAAGCAAUAGUGCUUCCUGUUAUUGGAGAUGAAAUGGGAAUACAAUUAAGAGAGCAAGACCUGUCAUGGAGAGAUUUCCUUUCUAGCGUAAACGAUAAUCCAAGGCCACAUCAUUUUGCUCCAGUUUACUGGAAUAUCGACUCCGUGACUAACAUACUCUUUUCCUCUGGAACGACAGGAGAACCGAAAGCUAUACCAUGGACCCAAGUUUCUCCAAUUCGUUGUGGUGCCGACUCGUGGGCCCAUUGUGACGUUCGACCUGGAGACGUAAUGUGCUGGCCAACAAACUUAGGUUGGGUAAUGGGACCGAUCUUGCUGUACUCUUGCUUUCUUACCGGUGCGACCCUUGCCCUCUAUCACGGAUCUCCUCUUGGGCGUGGUUUCGGAAAAUUUGUUCAGGAUGCAGGAGUGACUGUUCUGGGUACGGUUCCUAGUUUGGUGAAAGCUUGGAAGAGUACGAAUUGCAUGGACGGACUCGACUGGACUGAAGUCAGGGUUUUUGCUUCAACUGGGGAAAGCUCCAAUGUCGAUGACGAUCUCUGGCUUUCUUCGAGAUCAUAUUACAGUCCCAUCAUCGAAUGUUGUGGUGGGACAGAGCUUGCAUCUUCCUACAUACAAGGGAGCCCUCUGCAGCCUCAAGCUUUCGGGGCAUUUAGCAAUAAAUCCAUGACAACGGGGUUUGUCAUCCUCGAUGACCACGGGAAUGCUUAUCCUGAUGACCAACCUUGUAUCGGUGAAGUCGGAUUGUUCCCUAUAUACAUGGGAUCAACAGACAGAUUGCUUAAUGUUGAUCACGAGAAAGUUUACUUUGAAGGAAUGCCGAAGUACAAGGGAAUGCGUCUUCGGAGGCAUGGUGACUUAAUCAAGAGAACCGUUGGAGGCUAUUAUGUUGUCCAAGGCAGGGCUGAUGACACUAUGAAUCUCGGAGGCAUUAAGGCGAGUUCGGUUGAGAUCGAGCGGGUCUGUGACAGGGCUGAUGAGUCGGUCCUGGAGACCGCUGCAAUCAGCAUAUCACCAGUCACCGGAGGUCCCGAACAGCUGGUCAUACUAGCUGUACUCAAGAAGGGACACAACACUGCCGCGGAUGAACUGAAGAAGAAAUUCACAAGAGCCGUACAUGCCAACCUUAAUCCGCUGUUCAAGGUGAGCUUCGUGAGGAUUGUUCCAGAGUUUCCCCGAACCGCUUCCAACAAGUUACUGAGAAGAGUUCUGAGGGAUCAGAUGCGCCGCGAGCUCUCACUCCAGAGCAAACUAUAGAGGCCUUGCUACGGAUCUUCCCUGGAAGUUAAAAGAUCUCGUGUCUUAAAAAUUCUCCAAGCGGGCUAAUGAAUAAAAAUAUGUAAAAUAUCAUCGGCUGUGUGAUGGAUGGACGGAUCAUGUCAUAGCCAUUAUCAUGCAUGUGAUUGAUGGAGUAUUAUAUGGGGCGGGGCUUCCACGGUGAAAAUGACCGAUCCAAAUUCCAUCAUAUAGAAACCAAGAAGUGGGCCGUCUCAAUUUGUAAAAUUUUCACUUUAGCCUAUACGAAUUUGAGUCAAUCUUCAACUCA
Punica granatum (pomegranate) is the source of this 2626-nucleotide non-coding RNA. Lineage: Eukaryota; Viridiplantae; Streptophyta; Magnoliopsida; Myrtales; Lythraceae. The record is from RefSeq and is a predicted model, not a curated record.